GCCUUGUGCCUCAUUUCUGGGAGAAC
This 26-nucleotide non-coding RNA is filed under the name Rattus norvegicus (Norway rat). The record is from RNAcentral. Lineage: Eukaryota; Metazoa; Chordata; Mammalia; Rodentia; Muridae.